UACGUAGGCGGCAAGCGUUGUCCGGAAUUAUUGGGCGUAAAGGGAGCGCAGGCGGGAAACUAAGCGGAUCUUAAAAGUGCGGGGCUCAACCCCGUGAUGGGGUCCGAACUGGUUUUCUUGAGUGCAGGAGAGGAAAGCGGAAUUCCCAGUGUAGCGGUGAAAUGCGUAGAUAUUGGGAAGAACACCAGUGGCGAAGGCGGCUUUCUGGACUGUAACUGACGCUGAGGCUCGAAAGCUAGGGUAGCGAACGGGAUUAGAUACCCCGGGCUGACUGACU
RNAcentral lists this ribosomal RNA (277 nucleotides) under Megamonas funiformis YIT 11815. RNAcentral describes it as "partial 16S ribosomal RNA". It matches the Rfam family "Bacterial small subunit ribosomal RNA", at positions 524 to 801 of the family's 1533-position model. The record is from RNAcentral. Lineage: Bacteria; Bacillati; Bacillota; Negativicutes; Selenomonadales; Selenomonadaceae.